Molecule: long non-coding RNA, 697 nt
Filed under: Homo sapiens (human)
Lineage: Eukaryota; Metazoa; Chordata; Mammalia; Primates; Hominidae
Description: non-protein coding lnc-SOX21-7:1
Source: RNAcentral
GACCCUUGAGAAAUUAGCAAUUUAAGGUGGGGACAGACACAUAGAUGGCUAAUUGUAAUUCAGUAUGGUGAGUACUCUUAACAGAGAAUUGUUUUUUAAAAUCCUACUGGCUCAAAAAUCAGAAAAAUAUCAUUUCUGCCCAAAGAGAUGUCAGGGAAGAAUAUGGAGAGGAGGAAGACCUGGAAGGCUGAGUUAGGAAGGAAAGAAUUAUAACUAGAUUUGAAUGUGGUCAAAAAUAGGACGUUUAUUUCCAGGCCCCUUAUGUGAGGUGUGGUUUGAGCAGGAGCUUGAGAUUCCAGUGGCAGGGUCCCCUCAGGCUAUUGGGAACAUUUAUUUUUCCUUGAAACAUGAAGCCUCCUAGGAGGCCUGCGUGUGCUGUUUGGUGGAUACGUGACCAUGGAGCUUGGGAGGCCGCAGGUUUUUCUGCACCCAGCCUCACUGAGCUGUUUUCUCUGUCUGUUUCCCCAGCUCGGAGUCCAGUGUUUUCCCACUUAUCAUCUUCUCUCCAGGGGCUCUGGACCAUCCGGGCAUACAAAGCAGAAGAGAGGUGUCAGGAACUGUUUGAUGCACACCAGGAUUUACAUUCAGAGGCUUGGUUCUUGUUUUUGACAACGUCCCGCUGGUUUGCCGUCCGUCUGGAUGCCAUCUGUGCCAUGUUUGUCAUCAUCGUUGCCUUUGGGUCCCUGAUUCUGGCAAA